This is a non-coding RNA of Brassica rapa (field mustard), 55 nucleotides long. Lineage: Eukaryota; Viridiplantae; Streptophyta; Magnoliopsida; Brassicales; Brassicaceae. The record is from Rfam.
ACUUCUUUGUGAGGUCUUUCUUCUAUGAAAUACAUUUGUUACGCUUGGCUUCUGA